GUGAGUUUUGGAUACUACACCCAGCCACAGGUAUCCUCUCAAGGGCUCUGUGUUUCUACUGCUCUCCACCCCAGCCUCCUGACAUUGUCUGUCUAGUAGGUUGUCUUCCCAAGUUGUCAGACUGCAGCCAGCUCCAAGACACCCUCGCUCUCCAGGGUAUUUCCCAC
RNAcentral lists this long non-coding RNA (167 nucleotides) under Cricetulus griseus (Chinese hamster). Its description in RNAcentral is "lncRNA (ENSCGRG00000026560.1)". Lineage: Eukaryota; Metazoa; Chordata; Mammalia; Rodentia; Cricetidae. The record is from RNAcentral.